This 119-nucleotide ribosomal RNA is filed under the name Ricinus communis (castor bean). Lineage: Eukaryota; Viridiplantae; Streptophyta; Magnoliopsida; Malpighiales; Euphorbiaceae. The record is from RNAcentral.
GGUUGCCAUCAUACCAGCACUAAUGCACCGGAUCCCAUCAGAACUCCGAAGUUAAACGUGCUUGGGCGAGAGUAGUACUAAGAUGGGUGACCUCUUGGGAAGUCCUCGUGUUGCACCCC